Long non-coding RNA from Ictalurus punctatus (channel catfish), 1268 nucleotides. NCBI's taxonomy places the organism in Eukaryota, Metazoa, Chordata, Actinopteri, Siluriformes, Ictaluridae. The record is from Ensembl.
UAAAUAUGUAAAUAUUUUCCUCCACAAGUGCAGUUUAUAUUCUCAGUGUGAACAUGGAGACAACAUUGUACAAUUUACUUUAUAAUUAACACAUGACCGUUUCAUUUGAUUUAAUUGCAUAAAUAUUUGUCAAAUAAGUCUUAAUGGAAAACAAAACUUCUUACAGUUUCUUGUACAUGUAUACAGAGAAAUCCAUCCCCCAGCAGACCUGUUUACAUGAUUAGAGGAGGCACGAUGAGGAAAUGUUAGAACAUUGCACUAAUAAAAUGACGUACGAGUGCAGGGGCUUCCGUCACGAUAAAGGAGUACCAGAUUUGAUCAAACUGCUUAAAUUUACCCUUCAGACGGGGUCUAAUUCGCUCAGGUGUAAAGCAGAAAUCAACUCUCUAAGCCAUAACUGGACCGCGGGAGCCGCCUUUUCCUUCCACAACAGCUGCAGUAACUUCUUGGCUGGAAUUAAAAUAUACACAAGCGAUCUGUGUUGCGUUCCUGAUGAUGCACGCGUACCAUCAGACAGUCCUGUUGGAUUUGCACCCGAACGAAAUAUUAUAAACUGAAUGAAUAUUUAACAAAAGCUCCGGGGAAAGUCCACGUCGUGUUCGUUUAACCAUCGCAGGAAUGAACGCAAAACCAAGCAAACUCUGCGAUAUUCGGAGGCGCGUGCGAUUUUUCACAAUUACUGCAGGUGUUUGCCGAGACGCGUCAUGUGACGUCAUCACAACGCCCUGCUCGAUUCACGUGCGUCCAACACGAGUACAGCUGAAAGCUCUCAUUGACCAACAAACAUCAAGUUCGUGCGAUUCGAGUAGAUUUCCGCAAAAAAAGCACAAAAAUAAAAACUCCACGAAAUCCUGCAGGGACUGAAAGUUUAAGAAAAAGUAAGUGUAGGAUCGAAAUAAAAUUCUUAACAGCUAAUAACCUUUAACGUGCGAUUAUGAAUAAUUUCAUUAAAUAAUUCAACAUGUAAUUACUCAGUUCUUUUCAAGCAGUUUGAGACACUAAUGUUAUUAACGCUUCUCCUCAUUUAGAUUCAAUUCAAACCUAUUUAAAAUAUUGACUUUUUCUACCACGAAUCCCAGGUUUUUAGGGAAAAGGGAAACUCAGGAAGCUUCAGAUUCACGUGUGAGUCAUCGCCGUGAUUAACGUCACGAUCAAACGUUUCGUUCAUUAGUGUUUCCUGUAGAUUCCUCAUUACCGACCUGCUGACUGAGGACCUGAUCACCAUCUCUCUCUCUCUCUCUCUCACACACACACACACACACACACAC